UCUCCUGGAAACGGGUGGUAAUGCCGGAUGUUCCACAUGAGCGCAUGCGAGUGUGGGAAAGGCUUUUUGCGGCAUGGGAUGGGGUCGCGUCCUAUCAGCUUGUUGGUGGGGUAACGGCCUACCAAGGCGUUGACGGGUAGCCGGCCUGAGAGGGCGACCGGCCACAUUGGGACUGAGAUACGGCCCAGACUCCUACGGGAGGCAGCAGUGGGGAAUAUUGCACAAUGGGCGCAAGCCUGAUGCAGCGACGCCGCGUGCGGGAUGGAGGCCUUCGGGUUGUAAACCGCUUUUGUUCAAGGGCAAGGCACGGUUUCGGCCGUGUUGAGUGGAUUGUUCGAAUAAGCACCGGCUAACUACGUGCCAGCAGCCGCGGUAAUACGUAGGGUGCAAGCGUUAUCCGGAUUUAUUGGGCGUAAAGGGCUCGUAGGCGGUUCGUCGCGUCCGGUGUGAAAGUCCAUCGCUUAACGGUGGAUCCGCGGCCGGGUACGGGCGGGCCUUGGAGUGGCGGUAGGGGAGAACUGGAAUUCCCCGGGUGUAACGGGUGGAAAUGGUGGUAGAUAAUCGGGAAAAACACCA
RNAcentral lists this ribosomal RNA (576 nucleotides) under uncultured Bifidobacterium sp. RNAcentral describes it as "bacterial SSU rRNA". It matches the Rfam family "Bacterial small subunit ribosomal RNA", at positions 146 to 711 of the family's 1533-position model. Lineage: Bacteria; Bacillati; Actinomycetota; Actinomycetes; Bifidobacteriales; Bifidobacteriaceae. The record is from RNAcentral.